Molecule: non-coding RNA, 148 nt
Organism: Pan troglodytes (chimpanzee)
Lineage: Eukaryota; Metazoa; Chordata; Mammalia; Primates; Hominidae
Rfam family: Metazoan signal recognition particle RNA
About the family: The signal recognition particle (SRP) is a universally conserved ribonucleoprotein. It is involved in the co-translational targeting of proteins to membranes.
Source: Rfam
GCCGGAUGUGGUGGCCCGCACCUGUAAUCCCAGCUACUCGGGAGGCUGAGGCAGGAGAAUCACUUGAACCCAGGGGGCGGAGGUUGCAGUGAGCCAAGAUGGUGCCACUGCACUCCAGCCUGGGUGACAGAGUGAGAUUCCGUCUCAA